This 1435-nucleotide ribosomal RNA is filed under the name uncultured bacterium. RNAcentral describes it as "bacterial SSU rRNA". It matches the Rfam family "Bacterial small subunit ribosomal RNA". The record is from RNAcentral.
GUCCAAGUGGCGGCUGCUUACACAUGCAGUCGAACGAUGAUGCCCAGCUUGCUGGGCGGAUUAGUGGCGAACGGGUGAGUAAUACGUGAGUAACCUGCCCUUGACUCUGGGAUAAGCCUGGGAAACUGGGUCUAAUACUGGAUACUACCUCUUACCGCAUGGUGGGUGGUGGAAAGGGUUUUACUGGUUUUGGAUGGGCUCACGGCCUAUCAGCUUGUUGGUGGGGUAAUGGCUCACCAAGGCGACGACGGGUAGCCGGCCUGAGAGGGUGACCGGCCACACUGGGACUGAGACACGGCCCAGACUCCUACGGGAGGCAGCAGUGGGGAAUAUUGCACAAUGGGCGGAAGCCUGAUGCAGCGACGCCGCGUGAGGGAUGACGGCCUUCGGGUUGUAAACCUCUUUCAGUAGGGAAGAAGCGAGAGUGACGGUACCUGCAGAAGAAGCGCCGGCUAACUACGUGCCAGCAGCCGCGGUAAUACGUAGGGCGCAAGCGUUGUCCGGAAUUAUUGGGCGUAAAGAGCUCGUAGGCGGUUUGUCGCGUCUGCUGUGAAAGCCCGGGGCUCAACCCCGGGUCUGCAGUGGGUACGGGCAGACUAGAGUGCAGUAGGGGAGACUGGAAUUCCUGGUGUAGCGGUGAAAUGCGCAGAUAUCAGGAGGAACACCGAUGGCGAAGGCAGGUCUCUGGGCUGUUACUGACGCUGAGGAGCGAAAGCAUGGGGAGCGAACAGGAUUAGAUACCCUGGUAGUCCAUGCCGUAAACGUUGGGCACUAGGUGUGGGGGACAUUCCACGUUUUCCGCGCCGUAGCUAACGCAUUAAGUGCCCCGCCUGGGGAGUACGGCCGCAAGGCUAAAACUCAAAGGAAUUGACGGGGGCCCGCACAAGCGGCGGAGCAUGCGGAUUAAUUCGAUGCAACGCGAAGAACCUUACCAAGGCUUGACAUUCACCGGACCGCCCCAGAGAUGGGGUUUCCCUUCGGGGCUGGUGGACAGGUGGUGCAUGGUUGUCGUCAGCUCGUGUCGUGAGAUGUUGGGUUAAGUCCCGCAACGAGCGCAACCCUCGUUCUAUGUUGCCAGCACGUGAUGGUGGGGACUCAUAGGAGACUGCCGGGGUCAACUCGGAGGAAGGUGGGGAUGACGUCAAAUCAUCAUGCCCCUUAUGUCUUGGGCUUCACGCAUGCUACAAUGGCCGGUACAAAGGGUUGCGAUACUGUGAGGUGGAGCUAAUCCCAAAAAGCCGGUCUCAGUUCGGAUUGAGGUCUGCAACUCGACCUCAUGAAGUCGGAGUCGCUAGUAAUCGCAGAUCAGCAACGCUGCGGUGAAUACGUUCCCGGGCCUUGUACACACCGCCCGUCAAGUCACGAAAGUUGGUAACACCCGAAGCCGGUGGCCUAACCCCUUGUGGGAGGAGCCGUCGAAGGUGAAUCUGAAGUU